AUCCCAUUUCAGCCCCUUGGCUAAGAUCAAGCGUAAUAUCUGUUAUUAUUGAUCUAAGUUCAGGUACAUCCUCACUUGAACACAAUAUAUUAAAUGGCUUUGGGGCACAGAACAGUGAAAUUGCUCACUUCAUUCUACACAUUCACCUGAUACUCCAGAGCCUCCAGGAGUGAUGCGACCUCU
Molecule: small nuclear RNA, 183 nt
Organism: Mesocricetus auratus (golden hamster)
Lineage: Eukaryota; Metazoa; Chordata; Mammalia; Rodentia; Cricetidae
Gene: U2
Rfam family: U2 spliceosomal RNA
About the family: U2 is a small nuclear RNA (snRNA) component of the spliceosome (involved in pre-mRNA splicing). Complementary binding between U2 snRNA (in an area lying towards the 5' end but 3' to hairpin I) and the branchpoint sequence (BPS) of the intron results the bulging out of an unpaired adenosine, on the BPS, which initiates a nucleophilic attack at the intronic 5' splice site, thus starting the first of two transesterification reactions that mediate splicing.
Source: Ensembl